UGACUGAGUGGCGGACGGGUGAGUAACGCGUGGGUAACCUACCUCAUACAGGGGGAUAACAGUUGGAAACGGCUGCUAAUACCGCAUAAGCGCACAGUACCGCAUGGUACCGUGUGAAAAACUCCGGUGGUAUGAGAUGGACCCGCGUCUGAUUAGCUAGUUGGUGGGGUAACGGCCUACCAAGGCGACGAUCAGUAGCCGACCUGAGAGGGUGACCGGCCACAUUGGGACUGAGACACGGCCCAAACUCCUACGGGAGGCAGCAGUGGGGAAUAUUGCACAAUGGGGGAAACCCUGAUGCAGCGACGCCGCGUGAGCGAUGAAGUAUUUCGGUAUGUAAAGCUCUAUCAGCAGGGAAGAAAAUGACGGUACCUGACUAAGAAGCCCCGGCUAACUACGUGCCAGCAGCCGCGGUAAUACGUAGGGGGCAAGCGUUAUCCGGAUUUACUGGGUGUAAAGGGAGCGUAGACGGCAUGGCAAGCCAGAUGUGAAAGCCCGGGGCUCGACCCCGGGACUGCUUUGGAAACUAUGCAGCUAGAGUGUCGGAGAGGUAAGUGGAAUUCC
RNAcentral lists this ribosomal RNA (564 nucleotides) under uncultured Lachnospiraceae bacterium. RNAcentral's name for it is "bacterial SSU rRNA". It matches the Rfam family "Bacterial small subunit ribosomal RNA", at positions 88 to 670 of the family's 1533-position model. The record is from RNAcentral. Lineage: Bacteria; Bacillati; Bacillota; Clostridia; Lachnospirales; Lachnospiraceae.